UCGUCAAUGGCUUUCACGGUGAAGACGUCACAUACCUGCUCCUUCUUCCUGACAUCAGCGAUGCCAUGGAGAGCCUCCUCCUUUGCUCCAAGAUUGGCACCCCAUGCAUGUGUCAGCUCCCGUACACCCCGUUGUCGGAGAAGGUAGAAGCCCCAAUACUUGCUCAACCGUGGAGUCCCCAGAGGUCCGCAACGCUGCCAUCGGGUUGAGAUUGGAUGGCGCUGGGAAGGAGACCAGGAGACACACAAGAAUGGUGAGAGAGAUGCUUGGAAAAUCUGAAUGUGUGUAGGAUGACUACGCCACAGAGGACGAUGAACAUGAGGAGAAUCUGAAGAAGGAAAGGUUUGUGCUAUUCUUAGAAACGGGUGCCGCCGGGGCUGCAACGUCGGCCUGGGGUGCAAGGGCCGAAGCUGUGACCGGUGACUGGGAAGACCUUGAGCAGGCCACAUGAUGCUGCGACGAGGCGCCAACGCUGCAGACAACGGAUUGGUGCUCCAAGCCGAUGUUGGGUGUUGUGAGCAGGUCGUCACUCUGCCGCAAGGACCACACGAGGCACUACUACAAAAGGGGUUGUCAGGGGCGGGAUGCUGCAAGCCGGUGACGGCCACACAUAGCCGAUGCCAGGCCGGUCAUGGCUGCUUUGACCAAGCAUUGAGAGCCCAACGCCGACGUACUACGAGUGGUGCCGCAAUGCAUGUUGUGUGCGACAUUGUAAUCGUGUGGACACGGAGUGAGAGGAGGAGGACUGAGAAGGAGUAUUUGAUCGGACGAAUGUGGUGCACUGUAAUCGAUGACUAGCCAGGCGAAUGUUUCUCGUGAGAAAUCAGUAGGAUGAUGCCUACGGUCACCCUUGUUAUUCAGUAGCAAUGCACGAAUAUUUCCAAAUUCCAAUUAA
Molecule: long non-coding RNA, 895 nt
Organism: Hordeum vulgare subsp. vulgare (domesticated barley)
Lineage: Eukaryota; Viridiplantae; Streptophyta; Magnoliopsida; Poales; Poaceae
Exons: 3
Source: RefSeq, a predicted model, not a curated record